AGUGAACGCUGGCGGUAGGCCUAACACAUGCAAGUCGAAUGGCAGCACAGUAAGAGCUUGCUCUUACGGGUGGCGAGUGGCGGACGGGUGAGGAAUACAUCGGAAUCUACUUUUUCGUGGGGGAUAACGUAGGGAAACUUACGCUAAUACCGCAUACGACCUACGGGUGAAAGUAGGGGAUCUUCGGACCUUGCGCGAUUGAAUGAGCCGAUGUCGGAUUAGCUAGUUGGCGGGGUAAAGGCCCACCAAGGCGACGAUCCGUAGCUGGUCUGAGAGGAUGAUCAGCCACACUGGAACUGAGACACGGUCCAGACUCCUACGGGAGGCAGCAGUGGGGAAUAUUGGACAAUGGGCGCAGGCCUGAUCCAGCCAUACCGCGUGGGUGAAGAAGGCCUUCGGGUUGUAAAGCCCUUUUGUUGGGAAAGAAAAGCAGCAGGUUAAUACCCCGCUGUUCUGACGGUACCCAAAGAAUAAGCACCGGCUAACUUCGUG
RNAcentral lists this ribosomal RNA (492 nucleotides) under uncultured bacterium. Its description in RNAcentral is "partial 16S ribosomal RNA". It matches the Rfam family "Bacterial small subunit ribosomal RNA", at positions 29 to 507 of the family's 1533-position model. The record is from RNAcentral.